RNAcentral lists this ribosomal RNA (467 nucleotides) under uncultured bacterium. RNAcentral's name for it is "partial 16S ribosomal RNA". It matches the Rfam family "Bacterial small subunit ribosomal RNA", at positions 329 to 793 of the family's 1533-position model. The record is from RNAcentral.
CUCCAGACUCCUACGGGAGGCAGCAGUGAGGAAUAUUGGUCAAUGGCCGGAAGGCUGAACCAGCCAAGCCGCGUGAAGGACGAAGGUGCCAAGCAUUGUAAACUUCUUUUGUCAAGGGACAAAAUCAGGCUCGAGAGCCUGACCGAGGGUACUUGAAGAAAAAGCAUCGGCUAACUCCGUGCCAGCAGCCGCGGUAAUACGGAGGAUGCGAGCGUUAUCCGGAUUUAUUGGGUUUAAAGGGUGCGUAGGCGGAUUGUUAAGUCAGGGGUAAAUGCCCGGGGCCCACCCCCGGCGAGCCGUUGAAACUGGGGGCCUUGAGUGGGCGAGAAGAAGGCGGAAUGCGUGGUGUAGCGGUGAAAUGCAUAGAUAUCACGCAGAACCCCGAUUGCGAAGGCAGCCUUCCGGCGCCCUACUGACGCUGAGGCACGAAAGUGCGGGGAUCGAACAGGAUUAGAUACCCCCGUAUG